This 492-nucleotide ribosomal RNA is filed under the name uncultured bacterium. Its description in RNAcentral is "partial 16S ribosomal RNA". It matches the Rfam family "Bacterial small subunit ribosomal RNA", at positions 29 to 507 of the family's 1533-position model. The record is from RNAcentral.
AGUGAACGCUGGCGGUAGGCCUAACACAUGCAAGUCGAACGGCAGCACAGUAAGAGCUUGCUCUUACGGGUGGCGAGUGGCGGACGGGUGAGGAAUACAUCGGAAUCUACUUUUUCGGGGGGGAUAACGUAGGGAAACUUACGCUAAUACCGCAUACGACCUACGGGUGAAAGCAGGGGAUCUUCGGACCUUGCGCGAUUGAAUGAGCCGAUGUCGGAUUAGCUAGUUGGCGGGGUAAAGGCCCACCAAGGCGACGAUCCGUAGCUCGUCUGAGAGGAUGGUCAGCCACACUGGAACUGAGACACGGUCCAGACUCCUACGGGACGCAGCAGUGGGGAAUAUUGGACAAUGGGCGCAAGCCUGACCCAGCCAGACCGCGUGGGUGAAGAAGGCCUUGGGGUUGUAAAGCCCUUUUGUUGGGAAAGAAAAGCAGCAGGUUAAUACCCCGCUGUUCUGACGGUACCCAAAGAAUAAGCACCGGCUAACUUCGUG